AAUGGGCGAAAGCCUGACGCAGCGAUGCCGCGUGCGGGAUGAAGGCCUUCGGGUCGUAACCGCUUUCAGCAGGGACGAUAGUGACGGUACCUGCAGAAGAAGCCCCGGCCAACUACGUGCCAGCAGCCGCGGUAAUACGUAGGGGGCGAGCGUUGUCCGGAUUUAUUGGGCGUAAAGAGCUCGUAGGCGGUUUGGUAAGUCGGGUGUGAAAUCUCCACGCUCAACGUGGAGGGGCCACUCGAUACUGCCAUGACUCGAGUCCGGUAGAGGAGUGUGGAAUUCCCGGUGUAGCGGUGAAAUGCGCAGAUAUCGGGAGGAACACCCGUAGCGAAGGCGGCACUCUGGGCCGGAACUGGCCCUGAGGAGCGAAAGCCUGGGGAGCAAACAGGAUUAGAUACCCUGGUAGUCCACGCCGUAAACGUUGGGCACUAGGUGUGGGGAUCUAUCGACGGUUCCGUGCCGAAGCUAACGCAUUAAGUGCCCGCCUGGGGAGUACGG
RNAcentral lists this ribosomal RNA (498 nucleotides) under uncultured bacterium. Its description in RNAcentral is "bacterial SSU rRNA". It matches the Rfam family "Bacterial small subunit ribosomal RNA", at positions 370 to 885 of the family's 1533-position model. The record is from RNAcentral.